Transfer RNA from Camelus ferus (Wild Bactrian camel), 72 nucleotides. It matches the Rfam family "tRNA". Rfam says of the family: Transfer RNA (tRNA) molecules are approximately 80 nucleotides in length. Their secondary structure includes four short double-helical elements and three loops (D, anti-codon, and T loops). The record is from Rfam. Lineage: Eukaryota; Metazoa; Chordata; Mammalia; Artiodactyla; Camelidae.
GAGGGUAUAGCUCAGGCGUAGAGCAAGUGCUUAGCAUGCAGUAGGUCCUGGGUUCAAUUCCCAGUGCCUCCA